AAUGAACGCUGGCGGCGUGCUUAACACAUGCAAGUCGCACGAGAACGCUUCAGCUUGCUGGAGCUAGUAAAGUGGCGCACGGGUGAGUAACGCGUGGGUAAUCUGCCUCCGAAUUGGGGAUAACACUGCGAAAGCGGUGCUAAUACCGAAUAACACCUCCGGGGCCCAGGUCCUGGAGGUCAAAGGUGGCCUCUACAUGUAAGCUACUGUUUGGAGAUGAGCCCGCGUACCAUUAGCUAGUUGGUGGGGUAACGGCUCACCAAGGCUGCGAUGGUUAGCUGGUCUGAGAGGAUGAUCAGCCACACUGGAACUGACACACGGUCCAGACUCCUACGGGAGGCUG
RNAcentral lists this ribosomal RNA (343 nucleotides) under uncultured Pseudomonadota bacterium. RNAcentral's name for it is "bacterial SSU rRNA". It matches the Rfam family "Bacterial small subunit ribosomal RNA", at positions 29 to 351 of the family's 1533-position model. The record is from RNAcentral. Lineage: Bacteria; Pseudomonadati; Pseudomonadota.